Peromyscus leucopus (white-footed mouse) is the source of this 990-nucleotide long non-coding RNA. RefSeq lists it as uncharacterized. The record is from RefSeq and is a predicted model, not a curated record. The transcript is spliced from 5 exons. Lineage: Eukaryota; Metazoa; Chordata; Mammalia; Rodentia; Cricetidae.
CCAGUAAGUCAAAGUGUGAGGUGCCUCUAUAAUUCCACUGCAGCAGAAUCCAUCUGGUGUCACUUUGUUACCAUAAUUUUGUCUUGAAGCAAACACAACAUCAAGACGGAAAAACAAGGAAAGUAUAUCUCUGGGUAAGAAAAGACACCAUGAAGUAAAAGUUUAUACAUAAGACUUCAAAGAAGAAGGAGAGCAAUGCUGGUUUCCAGGUUAGGUUUCUGCAACAAAAUUUAAAAGGACCAGCUAAAUAAAUAAUUCAAUUUGUUAUAUCAAAACACACUGCUGACUCACAGAUAUACCUGGAUAUCUCAGGACAGUCUGAGUAGCUGGCUGUGUCACGUGUACAGUUGUGAUCUUGUUCUAUAGGAGCCACUGCAAGGCUGUGUUCAAAGCUGUUUAUAGCUUAGGAGCAAUAGAGCCUCUUGCUCAGACAUGGUGAAUGGGUUGUAGCAUGGGUGCUACAAGUGGAGGCCCCACCGAGAUCUGAGAAAGAAGGGAUCUGCUGAUGGACCACCUGACAGAAGGCUGGCUAGCAUUUUAAAAGAAGGACAAUAACCUUAGAAGCCAUGUACCUCGGACACACACCGCAGCUUCCUGAAGGCACGGAGUAGGACUUGAUACCGUGGAGUGAGAGUGGGAGAGGAGCCAAGACGUUUUCCAGUUUGUACUGUUCUUCCUGGAUCCAGAUACCAAGCUUCCAUUGUGGCCAUGGUUGUGGAGUAGUCCCGGCCUCCUGCCCCUGCUGGCGCUUCUAGAGGCACUCUCAUAAUGUUCUUUCAGGGACACCAGCUACAGCCAGCCCAAAUCCUUUCCUUACAGUACCAGAUCCGGGGCACCUCCUGCUCUCCCCUAGGUUUCAUUUGUCUUUAUCCUUUCCCUUUGUUCCCUGGGUCUCAGAUUUGUGACUGAUUUCUGAGUUAAUUCUGUGCUCAGUCCCUCUAACACCCAUGAAACCAAGCCUCUCCAUUAAAAUCUCUAUGUUGAAAAUCA